RNAcentral lists this long non-coding RNA (1277 nucleotides) under Rattus norvegicus (Norway rat). RNAcentral describes it as "long non-coding RNA NONRATT003238". The record is from RNAcentral. Lineage: Eukaryota; Metazoa; Chordata; Mammalia; Rodentia; Muridae.
ACAGGUUUCUGGCCAUCCCUGUCUCUGUCCCUGGGUGUUCCCUUACACCACUUGGUCUCCAGUGUCUCUGAGCUGAAGCAGCUGGUUGAGGGCCAUCAAGAACCAUACCUCCUUUGCUGGAACCAGUCACAAAACCAGGUACAGGUUGCUCUGAGCCAAGUGGCAGGCCCUGAGACUGUCUUAAGGGCUGCCACCCAUGGGCUGAUUCUCGGAGCCCUGCAGGAAGAUGGGCCACUUCCAGGGGAGCUGGCAGAGCUGAGGGACAGGGUUCAGGCUGGUCCUAAGAACGAAAGCUGGAUUCUUGUCAGGGAGACCCAUCAAGUGUUGGACACACUGUUCCCAAAGUUCUUGAAAGGACUGCAGGCUGCUGGCUGGAAGACCGAGAAGCACCAUCUAGAGGUGGAUGAGUGGAGGGCCACGUGGCCCCUGUCUCCAGAAAAGAAGGUCUUAUGAGCAGCCAGGCUCCAAGCCCAGAACUCAAGACAGGAGCCCGGAGACCAGGGUGGAGCCUGGAGCAAUGACAUUUCAGCCACAGCAGGAUGUUAGAAGGGCAGCUUUAUUUUUGCAUAGGCAAACAUCUAUGACAAAUUGGCCACCAUCUUGUGGGAAGUGACAACCAAUCAAAUGGACUGGACCCCAGAACCAGAGCAAGCACUGGCGGAGCAGGCCUGGAGCUGGGGACUGGACCUCUGGAAGAAAUGGGGAGCACACAGCUAGUCUGAAGGGAGUCAGCUCCCUGAGCUUCCCAGGAUGCUUUCCCGGGGUAUGCCUUACCUUCAAUCCCCAUUGCACAUUCCUGGCACCCGUUCUGCACAGGAGGAGGGGCUGGACCCUCUAACUCUUCAGCAUCCAGAUCCUCCCGCUCCUCCUUGCUGUGCCGGAGACUGAAAACCAGGCGGUGGAGCUGGGAAGUUAGGGAGAAGGGACCAGGUGGGAGUUGUGCCCUCCACCCCAGGUCCACACUGGCACACAGCUUUGUCACUGCUCUCCCCAGCCUCCCUUCUGGCCUGCACACAUGCCUCGGCUCCGCUCACUCGGACUCCUCUUUCCAGGAUAGUCUUUGCCUUCACACUGAACCCCAAGAUCUUCAUCUAGUAUUAAAGCCUUCACCCCUGCCCAAUCCCAUGUUUCACCCCAAGUUUUAUGUCUACACCCAGAAUUGUAGUUCUUCAGACUGGUCUCAAGUUCUGAUACUGCAUAUUCCCAUUGUCAUUUGCUCUGCUCCCUCAAAAUGUCAGUUAAGUAAAUGUGCUUGCCCUGGAAACAGCUUCAUCCUG